This 382-nucleotide long non-coding RNA is filed under the name Heterocephalus glaber (naked mole-rat). Its description in RNAcentral is "lncRNA (ENSHGLG00100035663.1)". Lineage: Eukaryota; Metazoa; Chordata; Mammalia; Rodentia; Bathyergidae. The record is from RNAcentral.
AAGGAUUACAAGGCCAGCCAGUGCAGCUGAGCAAUUUAAAGAGACUCUGUCUCAAAAUAAAAACUAGAUAGGACUAGGACACAGCUCAGUGGUAGAGCACUGUCCUAGCAUGCAUCAGGCCCUGGCUUUGACCCCAGCACUGCAAAAUCAAGCAUUCAGCUUUGAGUCAGGGAAGGAGCCCCAAGGAAAGCAAGAGGAGAAGCAGUGGCACGGACAAGAUGACAUGGUUCCUAUGACGUGGAGGAGACCCAGCUUAAGUGCCACCUCCCCCAGGGAGCUGCUUCUUCCUGCUCUCCAGUGACCUGCACAGUUCCAGCAGAAUCCAGGCCUGGCUUGUGACCUAGGAAGGGAAGUGGCCAGCUGAAAACACUGCCCUGGAGAA